This 1077-nucleotide ribosomal RNA is filed under the name Kumbadjena extrema. RNAcentral's name for it is "SSU rRNA". It matches the Rfam family "Eukaryotic small subunit ribosomal RNA", at positions 50 to 968 of the family's 1831-position model. The record is from RNAcentral. Lineage: Eukaryota; Metazoa; Onychophora; Udeonychophora; Euonychophora; Peripatopsidae.
CAUGCACGUCUAAGUACUCGCCUUGGUCUAUUUAAAGUGAAACCGCGAAUGGCUCAUUAAAUCAGUUAUGGUUCACUGGACCGUACCACAUCCUACUCGGAUAACUGUGGUAAUUCUAGAGCUAAUACAUGCAACUAGGCCCUGCCCGGCCGCUCCGUCCGUCAAAACGACGGUCGGUCGGAAAGGGCGCCAUUAUCAGCUCAAAACCGACCGGGUCGCCCGCCGUCCUCUGGACGGGCAGGGCUCCCGUUCUCGUUGACCCUUUGACGACUCUGGAUAACCUCCUAGCGGAUCGCCGGUCAAACUUAGGUCGGCCGGGUGUUUCGGCAUCCGCGCCCGACCUAACGGCGACUGGUCUUUCGAAUGUCUGCCUUAUCAACUGUCGACGGUAGGUUAGACGCCUACCGUGGUCGUAACGGGUGACGGGGAAUCAGGGUUCGAUUCCGGAGAGGGAGCCUGAGAAACGGCUACCACAUCCAAGGAAGGCAGCAGGCACGCAAAUUACCCAAUCCCCGAACGGGGAGGUAGUGACGAAAAAUAACGAUACGGGACUCUUAACGAGGCCUCGUAAUCGGAAUGAGUCCGCUCUAAAUCCUUUUAACGAGGAUCUAUCGGAGGGCAAGUCUGGUGCCAGCAGCCGCGGUAAUUCCAGCUCCGAUAGCGUAUAUUAAAGUUGCUGCGGUUAAAAAGCUCGUAGUUGGAUUUGGGUUUUCGGGCCGGCGGGCCGCCGCCUUCGAGCGGCGCGUCUCCCGCCGCGCCCCCGGAACCGCACGGUCGCAGAGGCCCCCGCGGUGCUCUUGAGUGAGUGUCCGCCGGUUCGGGUCGCCGAACGUUUACUUUGAAAAAAUUAGAGUGCUCCAGGCAGGCCGGUAAAGCGUUGUUUAAAAAAGACCCGCGCCUGAAUAGUCACGCAUGGAAUAAUGAAAGAGGACCGGUGGUCCUAUUUUGUUGGUUUUCGGGAUUUUCCGCCGUCAUGAUUAAGAGGGACGGCCGGGGGCAUUCGUACCGCGGCGCGAGAGGUGAAAUUCUAGGACCGCCGCGAGACGAACCGUUGCGAAAGCAUUUGCCAAGAAUGUU